This 16167-nucleotide long non-coding RNA is filed under the name Triticum aestivum (bread wheat). RNAcentral describes it as "long non-coding RNA (TAES_LNC020181)". Lineage: Eukaryota; Viridiplantae; Streptophyta; Magnoliopsida; Poales; Poaceae. The record is from RNAcentral.
UUUUUUUAUUUUUGUUUACUAUUUUAAACGAAUGCACCUGAGAGCCAAAACGCCGCGUCCCCUUUUUCUACUCUGCCGCUGUUGUCUGCUCAUGUAGACCUGUACCAAACCUAUAAUAGGUGAACAUGUGCACUCUGUUUCUGCUCCUCGCUCUAUAUGUAGUCAAGAAGUGGAAAACCUCCCUUUUGUUAGCAUAAGCAACCUAAAAGCACUGGUUCUCAUCGUCUUAGGUGCCUGCUGAUGGUGCGCUGAAGCCCUGGUGGAUCUUUAGUUAAUUGUCAAUCAGCUUGAUAUAUCAAGGUGUUGUAGGUCAUUUAUAGCAUAUAUGUUGCUUCUAUUUUCUGUUUAGUAGAUGUAGAACAUUGUGGUUUCUGUUAAAUGAAAUCGAAGGGAGAGCCUUUUUAUAUAUAAAAGGGGUCUCUUUGUAAUAAAUAUAGAGAAACCGAUGGCAUGAUUAAAACUAGUUUUACUUUCUUUCAAAAGAAAGGUCUAACCUCAGAGAUUGAAUCUACGGGUGUACACUACUAUAAUAUAAUUAACAAGGCCAAAGUAAUCAACAAAUAGAGACAUUAGGUAGACAACAAUGACAAGAUGUAAAUUGCACUAUCCCGCAACAAUGCUUGCAAUAAGGGAGAACACACCCGCACUAGCAUCAUCACAUCCAACAUGAGACUGUCAGGACAAAGGAUUUUCGUCCUGGAUGUUGGGUUUAACCAAUCAAGUCCACAAAAUUAGCAUAGAGACAACACAUUCAACAAGAUAAGGAUGAAAGUUCAUCUUUGCUGGGAGCAUGGGACCGACCAACAAAACUGAGAUCAUUUUUUUUUUGAAAGAUCAGAUCACUUAUUUUCAUCCUAGAUAUGACACGAUGUUACUAUCACCAUCUUGAUGAUGGAUCUUUUGAGAGUUAUAUCAUCAAAUAAUCUACAUAAACCACCAUGGUGUCCACCUGAGAUAGUCACAAAGUAGGCCUAUCAAAACUCCUCAUGCUGAUGCCCCACCACAUGCGCAAAUCAUAGACGGGCACCAUUAAUAGUCCUCCGUUUCACAGGACGGGUCUCCACUUCUCGCUGAACGGGAGGUGGCAACACUAUGAACCACACGGGGAUCCAAAUAAAGUUGUGGGCACGCAAUUGACACACUUGCAAAGCGCCUAUGGCACACCGCCACACUCCUACCAUGUGGCCACGCAUGACCGAGACAACCACUAAACCAGCAACCUCUAAAUAGUAGUGGCGUGUCGCCAUCAUCGGAGGCAAUGUUAGGGAGCGGCGCGGUCAGAAGAUUGGAUGAGUCAUCUCCCGCCUAAGACGACCGUCGCAACCACGUGGCUAUCGAACCUCCAAUCUAGCAUGACCCAUACUCGUCGAGUCAGAUUCACGAACCCAUUGUGAAGUUGUGCCCGCCGCCACACCCUCCCGGAGGAAGCCACUGAGGCACCAACAAAACCACGAUGGCUUGUAGCGCCUGCCUAGCCACAAUUGAAAAACCACCCGAUAGGCAUGAAUAAGGGCCCCACCGCCGUCGACCGGGCAGGCUUCCUGGUAGUGCACCGGCAGCGGCGGUGAGGGGAGGAGGCUCGCACUCAAUACACGACCCGAGCUGCCCUGGAGCGACACGGGUGCCGAUCCCAUUUUUCUCUUUUGAAAAAACAUGUGAAAAGAAGGUAGACAAAAUCCAAUGCCUGUGGAUGUAUCAACGCUGAAAUUUAAGAGUUUGAUCAAACAGACCCCAACGCGGUACGAAAGGCACAUUUUUUUUUCGAAACGGAGGCAAAAGAUUUGCCCCAUAUAUUAAAUAAGGAGAAGAUAGAGUUGUUACAAGAGCCAAACACACGGCAUGACAAUUAUUCUCGCAAUAUAAUGUCCCCUAGCUUUCUAGCACCAGCAGUGACCCAUAGCUUUGCCUCGUUGAGGACCAUUUGAAGAAGGAUGGUCGGUGGAGCACUCUUGUGGCGGAAGACUCUGGCAUUCCUCUUGUUCCAAACGGACCAGGAGACGAGCAUAGUGAGAGAGGCCAUUGCUCGUCUAUUGGGAUUCUGCAAGUCGGUUCGCUUCUCCCACCACUCCUUCACCGAGCCAGCAAGAUGCCAAGUGGUGGUGUCCAUGUGCACAAGUCCCAACUUGUCAAUGAGCAUCCUCCAAAGCCUAAGAGUGUAGCGACACUUGAAGAAAAGAUGGACGCCAGACUCUUGCUCCCUUUUGCAAAGUUGACAAAGGCCGCAGUUGGGCCAGCCGCGCCUGGCCAACCUGUCUGCAGUCCAAAUCCGGUCUUGUAGAGCCAGCCACGAGAAGAAUUUAACUUUGGGUGGAGCCCAAGCUUUCCACACCAUGAAAUCCAUAGGGGAGAGAAUCAACCCAAGGAAUUGAGCCUUGUAGGCAGAGGAUGCCGAGUAAAUCCCGUCGCUGGAGUGCUUCCAGGUGAUAUCAUCCUCGGCAUGCUCGUCAAGGUGGACCUCAUUCAUGAGCAUCCAAAGAGAGAAGAACUCGUGAACGUGGGCAGCGGUGACGGGCGUGUCAAUCUUGACCUUCAGUAUCCAUGCAUUCCCUUUAAGGGCCUCACGCACCUUCCAAUUCUUUCUCCUGGAGGCACCGAAGAUUAGCGGGGCAAUGUCCUUGGGUUUGCGCCCAAGCAGCCAGGGAGAGUCCCAAAAAGGCGUUUUGGCACCAUUUCCAACAGUAAUCGUGGUUGACGCAUAGAAAAAAUUCAGGUCCUCCUCUGAGCAUGGGUUACCAAGCCCCACCCAAAGCUUGUUGGUCUCCUUCCAUUCAAACCAUGGCCAUCUUAGUCUCAAGGCACGGGCGAACUUGUCAGUGUUUAGCACCCCAAGGCCACCAUACUCACGAGGACGACAUACCACCUCCCAGUUGACCUUGCAUUUGGCACCCGUCGUCUUAUCUGAGCCAGACCACAGAAACGCUCGCUCAAUCUUGUUGAGGUUUCGUAAAGUGCUCGGCGGCACAACGAGAGGCGUGAUGGAGUACACCACUUGGGAGGAGACAACCGACUUGACCAGAGUCGUACGACCGAUGGUGGUAAUAUUUUGGCCCUCCCAAGUGACCAACUUUCCAGCUGCUUUGUCUUCAAGAUAUUGGAAAUCCACUUUCCUAAGCUGCCAGACCGAGAGUGGGAGGCCCAAAUAUUUCACAGGGAAAGAAGCUCUUGCAGCCGGCAUGCCAUGAAGGAUAUGGUCCAAGUCAAGGUGGUUGCAGCGAAUGGGCACAACAGAACUUUUGUGGAAGUUGGUGUGGAGGCCCGUGACCUCGCCAAAACUCCUUAAGAUAGCAGAGAAGUUCUCGAUGUCCCUCUUGAUCGGAGCCAGGAAAACAGCUGCAUCAUCCGCAUACAAAGAAGUUCGCACCAUGGUACCACGACCACGAAGCUUGCGGAGAAGGCCUCGGUGCGUUGCAAGAUCAAGGAUUCGACGAAGCGGGUCAAUCGCGAGGACAAAUAGGAGCGGCGAGAUUGGGUCCCCUUGCCGAAGCCCUUGGCCAUGCCUGAUGGGAGGGCCUGGAAUCCCGUUGAGAAGGAUGCGCGAGGAAGCCGAGGAGAGCAACGCGGCAAUCCAGGCCCUGAAUUUGCUUGGGAAGCCCAAGCGCUGCAAGAGGUCCAGAAUGUAUUCCCAUUUGACGGAGUCAAAAGCCUUUCUAAUGUCAAGCUUGAAGAGGAGGGCAGGGGUCUUGCACUUGUGGAGCGGACGAGCCAUGUUCCGCACGUACAUAAAGUUGUCGUGGAUACUCCUCUUUUUGAUGAAGGCACUCUGAGCAUUGGAGACGAGGCCAUCCAUGCGAGGAGCAAGCCGCAAGGAGAGGACCUUGGCGAUGAUUUUGGCGAUAGCAUGGAUGAGACUAAUAGGCAUGUAGUCAGCUAUCUCCUCUGCACCAUCCUUCUUUGGCAAAAGCACAACAUUGGCAGAGUUCACCCACUGUAGGUUGGCAGUGUGAAGAGAGUCGAAGUUUUGGAUGACCCUCAUGAUGUCAGGUUUAAUGAACCCCCAACAUUUCUUGAAGAAUAAUCCGGUGAAGCCGUCUGGCCCAGGAGAUUUAUCCGCCGGCAUCUCCUUGAUGGCCGCCCACACCUCCUCCUCGGUGAUGGGAGCAUCAAGGUCCUGCAAGUCAUGCUGCUCGAGGUGAAGGUCAUCCCAGCAGAAAUCCUUGCUGCUCAAACCCCCCUCCCCAUGACAACGGAGAAGUGGUCAUGGACGAUUUUCUCCUUUGCCACAUGCUCAGUUACCCAUCCAAGGUCAUGCUUGAUCCUGCAGAUAUAGUUCUUUCUUCUUCUAGCAUUGAUGCGGCGGUGGAAGAAUUUUGUGUUAGCGUCACCAUCCUUGAGGUUUGCAAUUCUAGCGCAUUGGCUCUUUCGAGCCCUCUCGAGGACCGCCAAGGAGAUUACCCUCCUCUUCAGCCGUGAACGCAAAUCAAGCUCCUCAUUAGAUAGGGGCCUCUCCUCCUGGGCAAUGUCAAGACGAAGGAUGAUGAGCAAGGCCGCAUGAAGCUGGAUUUUGGCCUUGGAGAACAGCUUCUUGCUCCAUUCGGUGAGACGAAGCGCGGUUUUCUUGAGCUUGUGAUGCAGGACCAGAAAAGGCUCAGAGUGGGCCACAUGCUCGUCCCACGCCUUACGCGCGAUCUCAGCAAAACCCGGCAGGGAAGCCCAGAAGUUCUCAAAUCUGAAAGUCCGCGGUCUUUUGGGACCCUUGUCAUCGGCGAGAAGGAGAGGACAGUUGUCCGAAAGGGACGAAGACAAGGCAUGUAGCACGUGGGAAUUAAAGGUUGUAUCCCAAUCAGCAUUGCAGAAAAAGGAAUCAAGUUUGCACAAAGUUGGGUUGGCCCUCUCGUUGCUCCAAGUGAAACGACGGUUUUGAAGAUGGAUCUCCUUAAGCUCGCAGGAUUGCAGAGCACGAAAGGCACAUUGAUUUUCAAACUGGUGGGCGACACUGUAGGGUUCCUGUACCUCCGAGAGGCAUGAAUGGAGGUUCCCGGACUGUUGGCUGUAACUGCGGCAGUACUGGAGACGGUACUAAUUAGAGAUGCAGUCGUGUACUGUUACUAGUUGGGAACAGCGGAUUCUUCAUGUACGCGAGACAAUGCAGCACCGGCGUAAUGUAUGUACGAUGUGUGCACUUCAACGUGUACACGGCCCCGGCAAAAUGAGAAAAAAGUCAUCCUUUUCUGAAGAAUGCAUAAUGAAGUUGUGUGAUAUAUUUUCCUUUUGAACAUUUUUUCUCAUAACAUGUCUUAUUCAUACUAUAAAGAUCAUAAAUACAAGUCACCUAAACAUCUAUCUGACAAAAUUAAAAAGAUAGCAGAACGCUAGACUUUACCCAAAGAAACAGCAGUCAAGAAAAAAAGUACAAUCAUGACCGAAAAAUCUCCUGAUCUUGCCUUCGGCAUCACCACAACGGCCACAUAAGACAAAAGAAUAUUAGAUCACCUCCUCACCUGAAGCUCCUAACGAUGAUAUUCAACUUUGCGGAUCUUCAAUAUGGCUCACCAAAAACGGAGUCAUUGUCAUUGAACAUAGACAACACUCUAAACACGUCAUCGAACUCAUACUCUCACGCCUAACGGAAUCUAGCUGCUCGCGGCCACCAGCGUAGAGUCGACGAGCUAAAUUAGUACAGUAAAACAAUUGUGCCGGCCGAUGGAUCCCCGGAACCGGAGGAUGGCCGCGGCUUUGACUGACACGGACGGACGCCGCCGCGCCGUCUCGUGAUCUCGUCCGCAUGCGCCCCGUGCACCCCUUCUCGGGGGCGAGGCGGGGCGCCGCAGGCUCGCCCGAUCCGUCCAAGCGGAACGACACGCGCGCGCGCGCCUGGGGCCUGGCGCCGUUCCGCAGUUUGACCGCUCCGCUCGCCGCAGCGGAAUCUCGUACGUACACUUCUACGUACUCCUACGUACCACUGCACGCCCCGCCUCGCCGCGGCUCUGUCGCGCACGCCGGCAGCCGCCGGGCGCGGCGGCCGAGAGAGCGCAGCAGCCAUCGAGCGGGCCGGCCGGCGGCGAGAAACAUCACGGAGGGGAACUGAUGGCGUGUCAGGGCGCGCGCGCUCGUGGCAGAGCCGGCAUCGAUUGCGGCAUGGGGUUUGUUCUCUAGCGUGUGGCUCUUGCGGGGAGGGCCUGCGCUCAACGGUCCCGCGCCUGCGAGCCCUGCAGAUGCAAGCGUACCACGUAUGCGUGAUGAAACCAUCCCAUGGCAUGAUGAUGAGGAUCUAGCUAGGCGCUACAGCGGCCGCCCGUGAUCCGUCCGUCGAGAGAGACAAGCCUGGCAGGCGGCUUCAAUGCCGAUGGACGGCAUGGCAGAGCGCGCGCAGAGGCGGGCCGGCGGGCCGAUGCGCGCAUUCACGCCGCUCCCUUCUCUUCCGCGACUGUGUUUCUUCGUUCGUCUGAAUUUUUAUACUACUAGCGCAUGGGUAUGAUGAUCGAUGAGCGUACGUGUGCCGUAUUGCCAUACGGCAUCACCUGUUUUUAGGGCAUUUUUCUUGCAGUUUUGCUAAGUCUCACUGAGACUUUCCCUCCAAAAAAAAAAAAAAGUCUCACUGAGACUUCGGUCGAUGCUAUAUUUCUUUCGACUUGCAUGAAGAUUCGUACAAUUUUUUCUUCAGUUUUUUAUACUAUAUCACUUGACAGAGACUUAGUUAAGUCUCAGUGGACUGAGACCUAAUCACAUCCAUUUUUCGCCUUGAGCCUUCUGGAACGGAACCAAGAUUCCCGGCCGGCCGUGUCACAAACACAAGAGUAAGCUUUCUUGUACAGUGUUGCCAGCACCUUGAUGAUGGCCAAUUAUGUUAGGUUUGACACGGCGGGGAAAGAUCCAUCUUUUCUCGUUGGAUUAGAUCCGGAGCUGGUCGACCGACCGAUCCGCGCUGACAAGACUUGGAUGCAUUGUACUGUACGACGUCAAUGCUCUCUCAAGCAAUUAAUUGCAGCACUACGUACUUACUGUACUAUUACUCCUACUUGAGAGUAGCAAUAGUGUGCAUGUGGGUCGUGUGGCCUAUAAUCACACGAGGUACGUAGACUAGAUCGAUUCCCUUCCCGAAAGACCUACGUAUACGUCCUCCAUCCCGGAAUCAUUCCUUCCACCCCUCCUGCCGGACGCGGAUGCACAGCACAAAAGGAUACGAUAUGCCCCCAAGCCGACGGUAGCCGUGAGCAUACGGUUUGACCGGUGAGCAUGCCUCCUUUCCCUCCUAUCAAAUGUUGCAUACAGGAGUGCUACGGGCGUAGCAGGCGGGAACCCUGAGCCCGUGCAUGUGCAAGCAAUUGAACCGUACUCAAGUUUUGAUGCCAAAGGUACUACAGUAAAUAGUACGUAGUACGUAGUACGUACUCCUACUACGCGGGGUGGCCGGCCGGCCCAAGCAUCAUGCAAACAUGCAAUGAUCAGAGCACGCAUCGGCAGAGCGGGCAGCUGAUGAGUGAGGGGCAGGAGAGAUCUCACUCUCAUUCUCGCCUCACGAGGACGUGAUUGGCAAGCGGCAACGGCUUCAUUACGCCGAGGGAAAAGAGGCCGUGCGGUGCAAAGCUGACAUGGAGCUGAAAGCACGGCCUCGUCUCAGUGAAAGAAAGGAAAAGGAGACUAUAGAUCUUUGCUGAAUGCCGAUGGGUCUACUCUCUCCCUCCGCGAAUAAGUGUACUUCUAGCCUUUGUUCUAAGUCAAAGUUUUAAAAUUUUGACCAAAUAUAUACAAAAGAGUAGUAACAUAUAUGACAUAAAAUUGAUAUAUUAUGAAAUUACAAUUCAAAACGAAUCUAGUGAAACUAAUUUAGUGUCAUAAAUGCUGCUACUUUUUCCUAUAAAGUUGAUCAAAGUUUUAAAAUUUUAACUUAAGACAAAAGCUAGAAGUACAUUUAUUCAUGGACAGAGGGAGUACUCAUUUGUUCAGGGACUCUCGUCUUUCGCUCCUCCGGUCUUAGCCCGGAAGCAACCGGCAGAGGAAGUGCUUUAUUAACAUUGACAUGGAAUAAUGAAGGGCAUGAUUGCCGGGGAUGAAAGUUUGUGGCCUUGGACAGAGCGAUUUUUUUGUUUUUUGAGAAACAUGGACAAAGCGAAAUAUGAUGAUGGGCGAGCGGUUUGGGCCAGGAGGUGCCGAAACCGGACCGGCGGCACAAAAGAAGCUCCCGCACCGGGGAAGGCCGUCGGCCCAGUUGGCGUGACAUGGCCGAGGACGCAGGCCCAAUCACUCAAGAAAAAAAAAUAGUACAAGUUUGUGCAGCUUGCAUAAAUAAAUAUAGUAGUAUCACCAUUCAGUUUGGAGCUCAGAUGAUGAGAUGAACAAUCAUAGUACAUGAGUAGCAAAAAAAUGGCGAAUUUUAAUUCAAAAAAAAUGGCGAAUACUUCAUUCUGCUUUAGGGCUUGGCAAUAAUACAAGAAAGCGCUAUAACAAGUAGUGGUAGUUCUCCAAAUGAAAAACGCAAGCAGCAGAAAUACUGCCAUCGGGUUAUCCGAGCAGCGGGCUGGCACGAUCAGACCGGAGAUUUGCAGCCUCUCCCAGGCCCUCCCUGCAAAGACACACGCAGCAAGUUCAGAUUAGUCGGUGUGCGCGAAAUGACCGAGCCGUUCGUUUCUCGCUACGGAUAAACAUACAAGGGAGCUGCCUCAACUUUCAACACAUAAAUUCUAUAUUUGCAUGUGAGUUCUAGCCAAGGAUUUCCAUUUUGUUUCUGUGCAAUAGAUCAGGCUGUUCCAGGCAAGCUUUCCAUGUUGUUUCAGUUAGAAGUUACUACUACGCAAAUGUUGAUAAUUAUUCUUAGUCUGAAGAAUCUAACAGCGCAAAUUUAACUUGGGAACUUCAGAGCUACACAAUGCAUAUACGGUCUACAGAUGAUCUUCCUUUUCAGCACCGAUCAAGACACCAUACUUGCUACUACUCAUUACCUGAAAGCUUUUACAUGGUCCACUCAGGAUCCCGGGGGCUGAAGAAGGAAGCCGUGACCUUGGAGUUGAGCAGCUUCAGCGCGAGGCCGGACUCGAUGCACCUCGGGGUCUUGUACUGGUUGAUGGAGCUGCCCUGGCUGACCAGCAGAUCCAUCAGAGCAUCAAACGCGCCGGCCUCGACCACCCGUAUCUCCAGCGGGCCUACCGACUUGUCGUGCGCCCUGCAGCGCCUGUAGAUGUAGUCGAGCGACUCCUCGACGGAGACGCAGCAGCUCUCGAGGAGCUGAGGGUCGAGGGGCUGCACGCCUUCGCAGGUGGACUUGAUCUCCCAGAAGAGCACAUAGUGUCCAGGGACGGUGGAAGUGUCUGGGUAGCUGGUGUACUCCAGGAGGAUGUGGUUUCUGUCCUCCAGGAUCUUCUUGGCACGCGUGACGCUGUUGUGGAGAUCCUCCUCGUUGGUCUUGUCGGUGUCGAUGCUGAGGAUCACGUUUCUCCGGCAGAUGAAUUUGAACUGCGGCGCACGGUUGUAGAAGCCUGUGACCUGAAGCACAUCGCCAACCCUAUACCUGUAAAGACCUGGACCAAAACAUACAACUUCAGAGCUCUUGACAAAUAUGUACAUGUAGCCUGUUUCAUAUCCCUUGCUAGCAGCCUGCCGCUAACAUUUAUCGUUCCGGCAUCCAUCAUUUAACUGAAUUUUUCUACUCUCUGAUUCACAACGACAGAAGAGCUGCCAGUUUCCGAAAUUUGAUUCAUAACCAUUGUUCCAGUUGUAGCUAACAACGAUUUUUUAGACAAAAUUAAUGAACUUCAACAGGUAUUAUGUUCAGAAAAAUGAGGAUUUGACUGUACAGUGGUCAAAUAAUCAAACUAUACAUACCUAAAUUAUGUUCAAAUAUAUUCUGGAGCAAGAGUUGAUGUUGGUUCUCAACCUACUACCUUACAGGAGUUUAGAUAGUUCUGUUACGAUUAGAUAUUUACAGGAGGCCUACUUACCAGAAAAUGUGGUGACCACAAGCUCAUAGUAGCAUCCGACCUUGACAUCCACCAGGCUGACAAGCUUGUCAUUCCCCACCACCUCCUCAUCAUCCGUCACUCUGAGGCCAUCCUCCAAAGGAAUGAACUCAAAGUAGGCCAUGUUUGGGAGGAUGGUGUAAGACACGUCCGUUGGUUUGCACAGUGGCCUCAGAUUGACACCAAAAUAGCUCUCCGACGAGGCGUACAUGGUGCAUACCAAGGGAAUCCUACCACCACUAUAGAACUCCAGCAUGGGGAUGUAUUGUGCCAUUGUUCCUGUAAGAACAGCUUCGAUGUACUUGACAUUAGGCCAUAGCCUGCCUAGAAUCCCCUUCCAUGGCCCACAGCCGCAGAUUUCCUCAAGCUCAUCAGCGAGCUCCGGGUUGGGCAAUGCGAGAAAGCACUCCAUGGCCAACCGGCAUUUGGUGUUGGUGACAUUGGGAUUGAGUUUACCAUUACGUAUGUCAGUGACAAGGUCACACCAGUGCUGCUCAAGAAAGCUGAUAGACCGAAGGAACGCCGAGGCGAAGACUGCCCCAAGACGGAGGACAUGCUGGCGUUCAACCAGGCCGCAUAGCAGCUGGCAGUACAUGCUCUGCUGGCUGUCAGGGCAAAGAAUUACCUCAUCAGGACUGGUGUAGUUGUUGUACAAGUCAUGUUUGCGGUGCAGGAAGUGAGGGCUUUUGUAAUAGCUAGUGAGGACUGAUCGAACUGGAAUGCCAGAAUUCGUCAGCGUUUCUGCUUUCACAAAGAGAAGAUACAUGGCCUUCCCCUCACCAAGGCCUGAUACAUACCUGCAGAUUGAGCCAAGGAGUAAAUUGUUGCUCGCAAGGUAAAAUUUGACAGCAGAACACACAUGUGUAAUGGCUCUGCUUAUUACAGAUGAAUACAGCCAGGAACACGAGCAGUAAAACUAAUUCAAGAUAUGUAGAGGUGAGGCAGUUAUGUUCAAAAAAAUAAAUUACAAGGUUAUGUCCAGAAUUCAGGUAACAUACUAAGUCAAAUUAUCUUAGGAAGCAGUUGACCAGAAGAAUUUCAGAAAUGACAAAACUGCCCGCAAUUAACAGUUAAUAUGCUAUGAUCCGCAAACGUUGGAUAAGAAACAGAAGCUUACUUGUUCAUUAUCGGCAUUAGCAGACUAUAAAGGUAGGUUCGACGGUCAAGAUCCUCGGAGAUGGCUGGCAUCAAUCUUGGCUCACCCCGAGAAGUUCCGGAGCUAUAAAUUUAUAAUGAUUAAAAAUCAAAGGGAUGAUCGUCAUACAGAUAGUAUAACUUCAAAUGAUACAAUCUACUAUUGUAUCAGGUAUGGAGUUCAAAGAAGUGACAGGAAACAUGAUUUCAUAAACUCCAGCUAUCAGGGUAAAUGGCAAUGGCAUAGCCAAGGAAAUAACAAGUCGUUAGCAUCAAGUACAAUAGUCAUUCAGCCUGUCCUGAGAGAAUAAUUCAAACUAGGUCACUUCUAAUGAGAGAAGACUAACUAUGUGAGUCGUGAGGUCUCAUCCACAUAUAGAUAGCCACCAUAACAAAAUAUGGGAAGUUUCUUUGACCACAGAAGCAUAUUCAAAUGCAAAUAACUGGGCUUUCAGAUGCGAGAACCACAAAGCAAAAUCACCAGUGCUCAGCAUCUAACAGCAAGCCAUGCUUGAUGAAUCAGUUCAGUCUCACAGAUAUAGUCAUGUCAAAGAAUCGACAAUGUAUUUAAUAAUCUGAGGCAUAAUAUCUUGCAAUAAAUGUUAUAUAUAGGAUUUUGUAUAUUUUUAGAGACAGUUUCAAGAACACAUAACAUGGCUAAACACGUCAUCUUGGUUACUUUUUAAAAACAGAGCAGUGACAUGAACUUUGAGGGACUGUCAAAUUUUGUAACCAAGUGAGGAAUGGCACAAUCUUAUGUUCUCAUUCGUUUACAUAUCACUCCACAUGAGUGCCCAAGAAUUACAGAUUACAACAGCAUGCCUGUGACGUUUUAUCUUGCUGGCGUGCCAAGUUAGCUCAGUUUGGCAUUUCGAGCCUGGUACAUGCUAAAAAAGCAACCAAUUUACCAGACUAAGAAGCAGCAAUAAUAUUUAUUUUCUCCUAUUAGUCCCAUAAUAACAUAAGACGCUUAUGUCAAGCCCAAGAAGAAGCAGGGAAUGAUAAAUUUCCAACAAAAAUAUAUGCUGGUUCUUUCUAUCUAUAACAGAUAUAUGCAGAAAGCGCUUAUGAGAGCAACAGAACCAGAGGCUCACCUUCUCAGCAGUUCUACGAUUCGGUCUCCAGAUAUAAUGGAAGAAUCCUCGCCAGUUGAGAUCCUUGUGAUGUACGGCUGGACCACAUCAUAUGUCACUACUGGGACGUUUCUCUUGAAGGUGGAUGUGUUUGUGGAUCUAUUCAUGAAUUUGCUCAAGUACUCACUAGCUUGGUUCCUCUCAAGGAUUUUUGUCAGUAUAAGCUGUUGGGCUUCCUUGGCAUUCACUGUCAGCAUCUCGAGCUCUUGAAGAGCGUCGCUUUGCUUGCAGCCUAACUCAUUAUUGUCCAUGAUACAAGCAAAAGAAGGAUCAGAAAUGGACUUUAACUUGAAGAGGAGGGAAGGGCUCAAAGUAAUAUCUUCUGGAGCUUGUUUGCCCCUUAUAUAAUGCGAUGUGCAUGAUCAUGAGAAGCAUAUCUGCUUAAUAUUUCCACUUUACAAGAGAGAUUCUUACCCAAUUAGAAAGUGCAGCCCAUCUGCCCGUGUAAGAUGAUCCACUUACUAUCUUUCUGGACAUGACAGUAUGUUUCAAUAUUUCUGGAACCCGCACUAUUAUUUUUCUACUGAAAAAUGUAACGCAAAACAAUGAAAUGCUGAAAUUUUAUCAAGUUGUGUGCACUCCAAUAUCCAUUACCUCAUUUUGUCUUGUGACAUGAAACUCCACCUGUUUACCAAUUACCAUUAUGCACCUUUUAGGAAUUACAUCUCAUUUUUCCUUGACAAAACCAUGUAAAGAUAUGUCAGCCUUGAAAUACAUCUAGAAAGCGAUUAGAACAUGUGUGACACAUAGUGAUUCGAAAAAAAAAGUAGUAUGCUUAAUUAACCAGUGUACAUGAUCGCAUGGUUGCAAAUAUUAAAAAAUGUAGGCCAAAAAGGCUAGAAACAAGUUGAAGAUCCCAGAAAGCGAUUAGAACAUGUGUGACACAUAGAGAUUCGAAGAAAAAAACAGUAGUAUGCUUAAUUAACAGGUAUAAAUGAUAGCAUGGUUGCAAAUAUUAUAAAAAUCUAGGCCAAAAAGGCUAGAAACAAGUUGAAGAUCCUAGCAAUGGUGCAAAAAAAGUGCCCUCAUAUGGUCCAUCUUUUUGUAUUUAGUAUGAUCUGAUACAAAUUGAGAGGAGACCAUAUCAUAAUUGUAUAGGUGAGUUGUACCAUGAUGUCUCCUCAUUUGUAGACAUUCCACAUAAACGCAAAGCUCUAACCUAUAUAACUGGCUAUUUAACAAUUAACAUCGUCUGAGGGACAGGAUAACCUGGUAGGAGUAGCAUUGGGUCGACUGACUCUGGCACUCUUACAUACUCUUCCGGAGUACAGAGUAGAGACCCUCUGCUUGUGCAUAAUACUGCAACUUGUUACCAGAUCUAUGCAAGAAUGGUGCAAAAUAUUAAGGAUCUCACAAUCGUGAGCAGAAAGAGAAAAAGGAAAGCAUUAAAAACAAACUUGAUGCUUCCCCAUGGGCCUGAGCAUCAUCGCAAAAUAUCUGUGGACCUUUUCAGGUGCACAUGGAGAGACAAGGAUAAUCGGUUAACCAAGCUAAAGUUACCAAUAAUGCUCCUAAGAACACAUAUCAUGUACAGCCAUCAUAUAGGAUCACACGCAACCAGGGGCAACCAAGCAUCACAGUAAGGUGAGCAGCAUCGAAGAUAAGAGUGCAUUUUAUCCACUUCUAAAUUAUACUGGAGAAGUUGUAUCGAAUAGGAAUGCUUCAUCUAGAAUACAAAACACUAUGAGGUCGAACUACAUGCUUAACUUUGUUUUGUAAAUUAUAGCACCAUGAGUACUUGCAGGGGAUCAAAACUAACUAGGUCCCAAGUUCGAUUUAGCCAAUAUAACUUUUGGCCAUAAUCAAAUACCAAAUGCAAUGCUACAUGCAUGCCAACUAGAAGCAUCCAAGAAAGGUUACUGUUGAUGUUGAAUUGAUGGAUAGUCCCCUUGUCUAUUUCUCUCAAUUGGAGACCAAAUUCCGCCCUACGGAAGCAAGAAAUCCGUACCAUACGUUAGCCUAUUCCAAAAGGUGACAUAGACGGAAUAAGCGCGUACACAACAAUUUGCAGGCAUGGUGGCUGUUUGUGAUAUUCUCUAGUCAACUCAGGAUAAAGGGUGUGCUUUCACAGCUUGCGGAUGCUCGCCGCAUAUGGUGCACUGCCUAUUGUGGUUUCUUGCUCCUCAUCCAUUAACUAUGUACGGAAAAGGGGAAACAUUGCACAGAUUCUUUGCUAAAGUCGCAAUGCUAAAAAAAAAAAAGUUAAGCUGUACGAUCUCUUGUAACCUUGUCCUUGCCGUAUAACCUCCUUACAUUCCCUGGUCCUCGUCCCUGUGAGAGAUCAUCUCGCCUUCUCACUUGGCGAAAGAAAACUGACACAGAUGUCCUCUUGGAAGCGGCCAACCAGCAUCCACCAUGAACACAACAAGGACAUGUGCAAGAAAUGAACCUAUACUCGACAGCUGUAAACCUUACAUGGUUUUGGGGUUCUGUCAUUCCAUCGAACACUUGGUGGGCACGGCAUUAAAGAAGAAGAAAGCAAUCUUCAUCCCAAAAGCAAAAAGGAGUAAAUCUUUGUGUAUAUUUGUUCUCUGGAAUAAAUCGCUCAAGUCAACAUCAUCCUAAAGCCAAGCAUUUACAAAAUAUCUACGUCUAAUCUCCAUGCCUCCAAAAGUUGUUCAACAAAAACAGCGCCGCUAAAUCAACUUAGAGAAACAGCGCCGCCUGGUGUCUACAAAUCAACCAGAGUUGUAAAGCUAUGAGAAAAAUAUAAAAUACUAACGAGAUUAGAUUGAUCGUGGAUGCCACAUUGCCACCAUGAGGAAACAAGGGAGGGAGGCAAAUAGAGGAUGGCACUUUCAUGAUGGAGGUGUGGGCAUGCUUGGGGGGAUGCACUGUGCUUUUGGAGAAAUAUACAUGCUCACCUUUUUGUGUUCCUUCUUUCCGUCAAGAACAACAGUAGAGGCCUGGACUAUCUCAUGCUUGCUUGCUCAGUGUGUGUGGCUGCCCCCUAUCUGACCUAGCCCAACCUAGCCUAGUAGCAUUUCUUUGGAGGAGGAUGGUGGAUUGGUGGAUGGUGGGGGACAUCAAGGAAGGAACUACACAUCUUCCUAUCCACUGCUAUGUAGGAGAGCACCUACAGCUGCAACUUGGAUUUUUGUGUGUGCACCAAUGGCUGGAUCUUUCUUCAACAGCCCAACACACUUUUGUAACAAAAGGUAGGAGCUAGACUCUCUGCUUUGGGUGGAUGGUGCUCACAACCUUGUGGUGCACAGUGUACUCAAUGUCUCCCAACAGUCAGCUUGCUUUGCUGCUGAUACUUGGCAAAACACAGCAAACCAUCUAGAAACAAAAUUAUGUGAAUUUUAUCUACCGGGGGCUCAUGAUGUUCUAACAGGGUUUCUUCUGACUUCUAAACGCAGUAUGUAUUUUCCUAUGAGCCUUCUGUUUUUCAAAUAGCUCAUCAGGCUACAUCAAGAAUCAACAAUAGUACGUUGCUUUUGCACAUUUGCUUAAGAUUCUAUAAAUAGGUAACAUUGAUAUGAUUUUGCCAAACAAAUAUGUGGAUUUAUUCAUGCUUGGAAUAAGCCACUGGUUGCUGGCUAAUGAUGAUUAUAGUUAGAUGCGCAACAAUCUUGCCCAUUUUUAUGGAUCUCCCCCGUGUUUUUUCAUCAUGGUUUAGUUUGUAAAGAGACUUCUAGAGCCGAUGGCAAUUAGAGAAACAUAUAACAGCAAACAGCCCCUUCACCAAAUUAUUGGAGAAAGCAAGCACAAUAAUCCAAGAGAGCCAUAAGAGCAGCGACUAAAAUGCAUUUAAGAAUUCAGGCACAUUGCCAGGAAGCAUAUUACACCAAGUCUAGUGUUUCCUCUUAGAAACAUAGACCAUUCAUGGACAAAGAUAUAAUGAUUCUUCAAGUAAUGUUUCCAUAAGCACUGCGUGCAGUCCACGGUUUUAUCAUAGACCAUUCAUAGGCAAAGCAUAAACACCCAUAACAGAUUCCUCAAAAAAGGUUUAAAGCGGUUUCAUAAAUAUCCAUCCUAGCAAAAUCUGCCACGCGGAACUCAUCUAC